RNAcentral lists this ribosomal RNA (376 nucleotides) under uncultured bacterium. Its description in RNAcentral is "bacterial SSU rRNA". It matches the Rfam family "Bacterial small subunit ribosomal RNA", at positions 524 to 898 of the family's 1533-position model. The record is from RNAcentral.
CACGUAGGAGCCUAGCGUUAUCCGAAUUUACUGGGCGUAAAGCGCGUGUAGGCGGUUCGGUAAGUUGGGUGUGAAAUCUCCUGGCUCAACUGGGAGAGGUCGCUCAAUACUGUCGAGCUUGAGGAUGGUAGAGGGAGGUGGAAUUCCGGGUGUAGUGGUGAAAUGCGUAGAUAUCCGGAGGAAUACCAGUGGCGAAGGCGGCCUCCUGGACCAUUUCUGACGCUCAGACGCGAAAGCUAGGGGAGCGAACGGGAUUAGAAACCCCGGUAGUCCUAGCCGUAAACGAUGUAGACUUGGCGUUGGUGGGGUAAAAUCCAUCAGUGCCGUAGCUAACGCGAUAAGUCUACCGCCUGGGGACUACGGCCGCAAGGUUAAA